AUACGUAGGGGGCGAGCGUUGUCCGGAAUGAUUGGGCGUAAAGGGCGCGUAGGCGGCCCGGUAAGUCUGGAGUGAAAGUCCUGUUUUUAAGAUGGGAAUUGCUUUGGAUACUGUCGGGCUUGAGUGCAGGAGAAGUAAGUGGAAUUCCCAGUGUAGCGGUUAAAUGCGUAGAGAUUGGGAGGAACACCAGUGGCGAAGGCGACUUACUGGACUGUAACUGACGCUGAGGCGCGAAAGUGUGGGGAGCAAACAGGAUUAGAUACCCUGGUAGUCCACACUGUAAACGAUGAAUGCUAGGUGUAGGGGGUAUCGACCCCUUCUGUGCCGCAGUCAACACAAUAAGCAUUCCGCCUGGGGAGUACGGCCGCAAGGUUGAAACUCAAAUGAAUGGGCGGGG
RNAcentral lists this ribosomal RNA (397 nucleotides) under uncultured bacterium. RNAcentral's name for it is "partial 16S ribosomal RNA". It matches the Rfam family "Bacterial small subunit ribosomal RNA", at positions 523 to 918 of the family's 1533-position model. The record is from RNAcentral.